Molecule: ribosomal RNA, 591 nt
Filed under: uncultured bacterium
Lineage: Bacteria
Description: bacterial SSU rRNA
Rfam family: Bacterial small subunit ribosomal RNA
Source: RNAcentral
GGGGUAACGGCCCACCGUGGCGACGAUGCGUAGGGGUUCUGAGAGGAAGGUCCCCCACACUGGUACUGAGACACGGACCAGACUCCUACGGGAGGCAGCAGUGAGGAAUAUUGGUCAAUGGGAGAGAUCCUGAACCAGCCAAGCCGCGUGAGGGAAGACGGCCCUAUGGGUUGUAAACCUCUUUUGUCGGAGAACAAAACCCGGGACGUGUCCCGGACUGCGUGUAUCCGAAGAAAAAGCAUCGGCUAACUCCGUGCCAGCAGCCGCGGUAAUACGGAGGAUGCGAGCGUUAUCCGGAUUUAUUGGGCUUAAAGGGUGCGUAGGCGGUCUGUUAAGUCAGCGGUAAAAUUGCGGGGCUCAACCCCGUCGAGCCGUUGAAACUGGCAGACUUGAGUUGGCGAGAAGUACGCGGAAUGCGCGGUGUAGCGGUGAAAUGCAUAGAUAUCGCGCAGAACUCCGAUUGCGAAGGCAGCGUACCGGCGCCAGACUGACGCUGAGGCACGAAAGCGUGGGGAUCGAACAGGAUUAGAUACCCUGGUAGUCCACGCAGUAAACGAUGAAUGCUGGUUGUCCGGGUCGAAUGAGACCUGG